CCUCGAGCAAUCCGAGAGCCUAGGCCUCCCAGAGUGCUAGGAUUACAGGCGUGAGCCACCACGCCCAGCCCUGACCUUUGCUUCUUAAGUUCCCCCAUCUUCUCUCCACACUGGUGUAGACGACUUUAUUAAAACAUGGAUGGGUCAGUGGUUCCACUGCUUAAAGACCUUCCAAUGCUGUAGGUAAAUUCCUUACCAUAAUAUCCCAGCUGCUUCACAACCUAACCAGAGACUCCGUUUGCAGUCUCCCUUCUUCCUCCCCUUCUCUCUCAAGCCACGUGUUCCUCCCACCCUCCUGUAGGGUCACUGCCAACCUCUUUCAUGGCCCCCUGCUCAGCAUGUGGAUUUCCCCUCUGCCUGGCAUGUUCUUCUCAUUACCUGCGUAUCAGGGUUCUAUUUAACAGCUCAGCUUCAAAACCACCAAUCCUAGAAACCUUCCCUGACUCUUCUAAGGAGAUUUAGAAUCUUUCUUAGCAGUUCUCCAGCCAGUGUCUACUCUUCAAGGCAGUUACUGCUCAUAUUGAUGGCUUUCCUGCCGGACCGCAAGCUUCUCAAGGGCCAAAAGCUGUGCUGUCUUAUUCGUCCUUGCACCACCAGCACAGGGCUUAGCACUUAUUAAGUAGGUGCUUAAUAAAUGUUUGCUGAAGGAACGAAGGAAUGAGAGUGUGUUGUUUACAAGAGCAUUUUCCUUGUAAAGAACAAAAUCUCAGCUGCCCAGGCAUAGCAUUCUGCCUUUGAGAGAGUAUUUAUGUUGUGGAUCGCGGCAGCCACAGAAGAGGAAUCCGUCUCUGAGGGAAACCACGGGAGAGUACAGGCAGGUGAAAUGUAAUUAUCCACGCUGGCCCCGCGCCAGGGAUUUGCAGAGCCGCCGCCAGGCCAGGGCUAAACACACAGGGGUACGACCUUGCUCUCGCAUCCCUUCUGAAGAGCGGCUCCUCAGGCAGCUCGGGGCUCGGGAACAGCUUGCUGGGGCCUGGGGUCAGCCUCACUCACAGGGACCAGGCAGCAGGGCCCUGUGACCCUGCAGAGUGUGCUGUUCGGCUCUCUGGCCCCAUUGGUCGAAACACAUAGCCUGGUGUGGCAAAGGUGGACAGCUUGUGAUCUUUCUCUCAUUCUUUUCAGCUGCAUGGCUGCAGUCCUUCCAGCUGAACUUAGCAACAUGUGCUUGCCUUUCAGGGCACGAGACUCCAGCAUGUAAUAAUGAUAACUUGACAUCAAGUUACCAGAAGCCAAUUUCCUCACCUUGUGUGUAUGUGUGUGUCUUCAUGUUUAUUUCUAAAGCCAAUAAAUCUCCCUAUCCAAAUUACAAAAGCAACACAUGCACAAAGGCAGAAAACCACAAAGCCUUUUUGCAGCUAACCGUAGAUUUAAACUCAGGAAGUGUGACUGCAGGGUCCAAACCCUGACUUUGCUGGCAGGUCAAGCCCUCCGAGGGUCUACCUGGAGGCAGCACAGGCCAACAAACAGCAGGGAGCCCCGAGCCCCUGAUUUUUAAUAUAACUAAAGCCGUAGAAUCUUGGAGCUUCCACGAGUAUGACCUUGGAGGUGACCGCAGGAGACAGGCGGAAGAACGCAGAGUGGAGAACGAGGCACGUCCUUUCUACAAAGCAAUCUCACAUUUAGUCCGUAUUGUGCCUCUCAGCCAUGCUCCAGACAAGAUUUUAUGCCCAGAGCAGAGAGUUUCCCCUAAACGGCAAUAUUCCUGUAUGUUCUGCUUUUCAUUUCCUUGAUUCUCCCGCCAAAGGUCUCCAAGCAAUUUACAAACUGUGGGUUGUGUUUGCAAUUCGGACCCUUGAAGUUUAUCUGUCUUUCUCUCCCCUCUCACUUUUCCUUAGUCUUUUAUGAUGGCAACUGCAAAAGAGGAAGAGUGGGGAGAGCAAAGCUCAUGAAUGUAUAUGAAGCCAUUACAUCCGCGGGUGAGAUGCAUGCGCAGGCACUCUUUUUUAAAUGCUUGUCUCCCCAUCGCCGCAACUGCUUUGGAGCCUUUCCUUCCAAUUGCACAAAUUCAUUCUUUACUCUUUUACUGCAUCUAUUUACAAGUCCGCAAGGACCCUCUGGGAGGCCAAAUUCGGGCCUCUGAGCUCCUGUAAUGAAGCCUGGCUCACUCUGCUCUGAUAAAUCUCACGCUACGGCUGCUUGGGGGAUAGAGUGUGUGCCCCCCUCUUUUUUGGAAGGUCAGCCUGACUGAGGACAAAGGAUUUUAAAUUGUGCUCUGUGGAAUCCUGGAAUCCUGCGUAGGCUGCCAAGAGUUCUAGGAAAUAAAAAUAGUAAAAUCAGCCAUGGAUAUUCUCUUAUUUUCCGAGUCGCUCUGAUUUUAGUUUGGUUGUUAAACUUUUUCUGGGGUUAAAGUAUGUAUCUAGUGCGAGCACACCGUGCUCCCUGAAUUUUGUUUUAAAAGUUCGCCAUAGGUGUGGCAUGAGUAGGUUUGGAGGAGCAAGAUGAGAGUAGCCACCAGAGACAUUCUUCCCUGGGGGUGACUUGCCCCCAGUAGGGGUUUGUCUGUUUGACUAGGAUGUCAGCUCCAAGAGAUCAGUGCCUGGCAAUCUUAGGCACUCAAUAAGUAUUUGUUGAAUGAGGGAAUGAAUGAAUGAAUGAAUUUUCUGGCUGGUCUGUGCCGCUGUUGGCCCUACCUGCAGGCUAAAUUCUGCUCCAGAUUUUGUACCCAUUUUGACCUAGGAAGGAAUUUUAUCAGCAGCUUUACUGUACAUGCCUCAUGGGCUUAGAGUCAGGACCCUCAGGCCUGCUUGGGACACCCUGGGGACCCAUUGGCUGACCCCAUAUCAUGCUGCCCAAGUCUGCUUUGCUGCAUAAGACUUGCUCCCAGGGGAAUUCCUGGGUGCUUGGCUCGCCUUUGGGUCUAGCUUUUCCAUUUCCCCUCUGCUGAUGACUCUUAGUCCCCCUGAUUUAAGGGCAGGAGCUCUGGGGCCCUGUCACCCUUGGGUUUCUCUCCAGAUGGCUGCUUAUCCUCCUAACUCUGGAGUCUUGGCCACCAGCUGAGAUGACCAGGUCCCUGGAACUGAAAGCUUUUUUAACCUGGCUGCUCUCUGGAACAUGCUUCUCUAGCUAGCCAGAUGUCCCUCUCAGGGAAUUGAGCAUGUGGGUAGGGGUUGGGAUGUGGACAUGUGAGGGUUUGACUCAGUUUCUCUCCUAGAGUGACCCAAAACACCCCAUAUCCCCAACCCCCAAAUCCUCAGAAAAGUCAGGGUUCUCAAACUAGAGUUUAGAGGGAAGGGAAGUCUCUAAUCUCUACCUAAGUGGCCAUAGCUAAGAUAACACUAAGAGAGCAAGUGCAUCAACUAACUAACACACACAGUGGCUCCUUGGGAAGACACUGGGGCCCCUGGCCGGUUGGCUUCCUAUGGUUGUAUUUGUAAUGAAUGGACAAAAACUAUUACCCCAAUACUCUUUAUUACAAUUACUUUGGGAAAAUCAUUCUGGGUGAGAGAACUUUACUUCUUAAAGGACUCUGCCCACUUCCCUCUGUAGGGAGUGAGGGGGAAUCUCUGGCCAUGCUGGCGUGGCUCAAUGGUGGUGAAGCAGAAGUCCUGGAGGUGACUUCUGGUGAGAAUGUGGGGGAAGGGCCCUUGGGGAAGAAAAGAAUCUCCACAGACAGGGCACCUGGAGAAUUCUCCAUGUGGGACAAGCGUGGAAGCAAAGGCUGUAGAAGCAGCAGCUGCUGGAGUUGAAUUGCAGAAGGAAAUUUUAGGCGUCACUUGACUUAUGAUCUCCUUUCGUGUUUCUUAAGAACACAACGAAGGGUUCGAAUUAUUUUUGGCUGUCGGGCUAGUUUAUUUGAAUGAUACACUGUGCUGCUAUUGAACCACUUGGGAACCAGGGAUUUUAUUCAACAGAUAUUUUGUCCCAGCUCCUGGGGAUCCGGCAGUGAACAAAACAGACCAAAACUUCCUCAAAGGCUUAUUAGAAGAUCUAGAAAGUAAAUAAAUAAACUAUGUCAUAUAUCAUAAAGUGAUAAAUACUAUGGGAAAAAUUAGGCAGGAGAAGCAGAUAGGGAACUAGAGGGGAGGAACGUGUUGCAAAUUUUAAACAUGGUGGUCAGGGAACUCCUCCAAGAGAAAGUGACACGGGAGUAAAGAUCGAGGGGGUGAGGGGAUGAGCCAGGCAGGCAAAGUCAUGGGAGAGUUCAAGGUCAGGCAGGUUCAUUGACCAGCAAGGAGGCCAGUGUGGCUGGUGUGGAGCGAGCGAGGCAGAGAGCAGUAGGAGAGAUCAGAGAGUUAUGGGGACGUGGCAAUAUCGGACUUUGGAAGCCAUUGUUAAGCCUGUGGCUUUUCCUCUGGAGAUCUCUGAGCAGAGAAGUGAUAAACACGACUUUGGUUUUAAAAACAAGAAAGAUGAAAGGAGAGGCAGAUACAAGAAGUUAAGAAUUAUUACAAAAAUCCAGGGGAUAGAUAGAGAUGGUGCAAUGAAUAUAGUGAGCAGUGUUGUGUUUGUAUUUGUUGGCACUAUACAUCCAUUUAUUUACUAAUUAUUUCAUUUAAUAAUACAUCUUUGAAUAAGUAGUUUCAUAAAUAUUUCUUGAGCCCCCACAGAGAAUGCAAUCUGAAACAGAAGACACAUGCUUCAUGAUUCUAAGCCUGUCAGUUCUGGAAUCCUGGGACUCUAAGGAACCAGAGAUGGUGGCCUCAGAGAGGGACGAGUGGCAACUUCCUGUUGUAGGAUCUAUCGAGGAGCAUCUCGGAUGAGUGUUUGGCAGAUGGCAUUCCACUUGGACAGAGGACUGAGCAGGGGCAAAGGCCUGAACAAGGGGAACUGGAGGAACAGGAUGUGCUUUCAGUUCAAGAUAGCAGAGUGAGUACAAGUAUUCGACCUCUUCCACCCUUAAAAGUAUCAACAUGAAUAAGGCAUCACCAUUAUCA
Microcebus murinus (gray mouse lemur) is the source of this 4874-nucleotide non-coding RNA. NCBI's taxonomy places the organism in Eukaryota, Metazoa, Chordata, Mammalia, Primates, Cheirogaleidae. The record is from RefSeq and is a predicted model, not a curated record.